Molecule: long non-coding RNA, 288 nt
Filed under: Elaeis guineensis (African oil palm)
Lineage: Eukaryota; Viridiplantae; Streptophyta; Magnoliopsida; Arecales; Arecaceae
Description: long non-coding RNA (EGUI_LNC065777)
Source: RNAcentral
AUUCUUUCUGAUUACUAUACUUUCAUCAUAUUAUUUUAGUUAUCAACGGUUCUAAUUGGUUCAUCUUUCUCUAAUCAUGCAGACUUAGAGGAAGAAGAUUAGAGUCGGGCAUUGUAUAUUGAAAGCAGGUUUUCCAAGUAACCGUCUGCAUAUUUGUAGAUUACGAUCCUAGCGAGGAAAAUACUAUCUUUGAGAUGGUAUCAUAGAUAUGCAUUGCCCAUUUAUUUUAUUUCUUCAUCAAUCCCACAACAAGAGAGAUUAUAUAAUAGUUAUGGUACGAUCUUAACC